This 103-nucleotide microRNA precursor is filed under the name Manihot esculenta (cassava). Lineage: Eukaryota; Viridiplantae; Streptophyta; Magnoliopsida; Malpighiales; Euphorbiaceae. The record is from RNAcentral.
GUGAUAUUGGUUCGGCUCGUCGUCUUCUUCUUCAUUUUAUCAAGAAAUGGAUCCUGGCUAGUUAUGGAAGAUCCAGUAGAAGAUGAGCCGUGCCAAUAUCACG